This 396-nucleotide ribosomal RNA is filed under the name uncultured bacterium. RNAcentral describes it as "bacterial SSU rRNA". It matches the Rfam family "Bacterial small subunit ribosomal RNA", at positions 28 to 420 of the family's 1533-position model. The record is from RNAcentral.
GACGAACGCUGGCGGCGUGCUUAACACAUGCAAGUCGAACGAGGUUUGUGGGUCUUCGGACCUACUUAUCUAGUGGCGAACGGGUGAGUAACACGUGAGGAACCUACCCCGAAGACCGGGAUAACUCUCCGAAAGGAGUGCUAAUACCGGAUGUCUUCACCUGACCGCAUGGUCGGGUGAAGAAAUGGAUUCCGCUUCGGGACGGCCUCGCGGCCUAUCAGCUAGUUGGUGGGGUAACGGCCCACCAAGGCAUCGACGGGUAGCUGGUCUGAGAGGACGAUCAGCCACACUGGGACUGAGACACGGCCCAGACUCCUACGGGAGGCAGCAGUGGGGAAUCUUGCGCAAUGGGCGAAAGCCUGACGCAGCAACGCCGCGUGGGGAUGACGGCCUCGG